Molecule: ribosomal RNA, 120 nt
Filed under: Petromyzon marinus (sea lamprey)
Lineage: Eukaryota; Metazoa; Chordata; Hyperoartia; Petromyzontiformes; Petromyzontidae
Source: RNAcentral
CGCUCUGAUCCAGUCACCCUGAGUGCACCUGAUCUCGUCAGGCCUCAGAAGCUAUGCCGCGGUUGAGCCUCGUUAUCGCUUGGAUGGCGGACCGCCUCGGAAAAUCAGCUGUUGUAGGUU